GAAAUAUUUAAUAAUUAAGCUGCUAACUUAAUUUUUAGUGAUUUACAUCAUUAAUAUUUCU
Molecule: transfer RNA, 61 nt
Filed under: Lobocla bifasciata
Lineage: Eukaryota; Metazoa; Arthropoda; Insecta; Lepidoptera; Hesperiidae
Description: tRNA-Ser
Source: RNAcentral